RNAcentral lists this ribosomal RNA (429 nucleotides) under Bacteroidota bacterium. RNAcentral describes it as "Bacteroidetes bacterium partial 16S ribosomal RNA". It matches the Rfam family "Bacterial small subunit ribosomal RNA", at positions 355 to 776 of the family's 1533-position model. Lineage: Bacteria; Pseudomonadati; Bacteroidota. The record is from RNAcentral.
UAGGGAAUCUUCGGCAAUGGGGGGAACCCUGACCGAGCAACGCCGCGUGAGUGAAGAAGGUUUUCGGAUCGUAAAGCUCUGUUGUUAAGGAAGAACGAGUGUGAGAAUGGAAAGUUCAUACUGUGACGGUACUUAACCAGAAAGGGACGGCUAACUACGUGCCAGCAGCCGCGGUAAUACGUAGGUCCCGAGCGUUGUCCGGAUUUAUUGGGCGUAAAGCGAGCGCAGGCGGUUAGAUAAGUCUGAAGUUAAAGGCAGUGGCUCAACCAUUGUAGGCUUUGGAAACUGUUUAACUUGAGUGCAGAAGGGGAGAGUGGAAUUCCAUGUGUAGCGGUGAAAUGCGUAGAUAUAUGGAGGAACACCGGUGGCGAAAGCGGCUCUCUGGUCUGUAACUGACGCUGAGGCUCGAAAGCGUGGGGAGCGAACGGG